CACGGAGGGUGCAAGCGUUAUCCGGAUUCACUGGGUUUAAAGGGUGCGUAGGUGGGAAUGUAAGUCAGUGGUGAAAUCUCCGUGCUUAACACGGAAACUGCCAUUGAUACUAUGUUUCUUGAAUUAUCUGGAGGUCAGCGGAAUAUGUCAUGUAGCGGUGAAAUGCUUAGAUAUGACAUAGAACACCAAUUGCGAAGGCAGCUCACUAAACUGUAACUGACGCUGAGGCACGAAAGCGUGGGGAGCAAACAGG
RNAcentral lists this ribosomal RNA (253 nucleotides) under uncultured bacterium. RNAcentral describes it as "partial 16S ribosomal RNA". It matches the Rfam family "Bacterial small subunit ribosomal RNA", at positions 524 to 776 of the family's 1533-position model. The record is from RNAcentral.